RNAcentral lists this ribosomal RNA (451 nucleotides) under uncultured Actinomycetales bacterium. Its description in RNAcentral is "bacterial SSU rRNA". It matches the Rfam family "Bacterial small subunit ribosomal RNA", at positions 97 to 565 of the family's 1533-position model. Lineage: Bacteria; Bacillati; Actinomycetota; Actinomycetes; Actinomycetales. The record is from RNAcentral.
GGCGAACGGGUGAGUAACACGUGGGCAACCUGCCCUCAGCUCUGGGAUAACUCCGGGAAACCGGGGCUAAUACCGGAUACGACCUUCCCUCGCAUGGGGGUUGGUGGAAAGUUCUUCGGCUGAGGAUGGGCCCGCGGCCUAUCAGCUUGUUGGUGGGGUGAUGGCCUACCAAGGCGACGACGGGUAGCCGGCCUGAGAGGGCGACCGGCCACACUGGGACUGAGACACGGCCCAGACUCCUACGGGAGGCAGCAGUGGGGAAUAUUGCGCAAUGGGCGAAAGCCUGACGGAGCAAUACCGCGUGAGGGAAGAAGGCUCUUGGGUUGUAAACCUCUUUUCUUAGGGAAGAAAAAAAUGACGGUACCUAAGGAAUAAGCAUCGGCUAACUCCGUGCCAGCAGCCGCGGUAAUACGGAGGAUGCAAGCGUUAUCCGGAAUGAUUGGGCGUAAAG